This 364-nucleotide small RNA is filed under the name Pan troglodytes (chimpanzee). RNAcentral describes it as "retained intron". The record is from RNAcentral. Lineage: Eukaryota; Metazoa; Chordata; Mammalia; Primates; Hominidae.
UGGACGCCCUGCCCCCUCCCACAGCUCUGGUCCCCUUCAAGGGUAAAGCUGCUGAGAUACGUGGCUGACAGGAGUGUUCUGUCUCCUCCCCACUCAGGUCAACCAGAGCUGGCGCAAAGAGCGCAUUCUGAACGUGCCCCUGUGCAAAGAGGACUGUGAGCGCUGGUGGGAGGACUGUCGCACCUCCUACACCUGCAAAAGCAACUGGCACAAAGGCUGGAAUUGGACCUCAGGGAUUAAUGAGUGUCCGGCCGCGGCCCUCUGCAGCACCUUUGAGUCCUACUUCCCCACUCCAGCCGCCCUUUGUGAAGGCCUCUGGAGCCACUCCUUCAAGGUCAGCAACUAUAGUCGAGGGAGCGGCCGC